GGUGCUAUCGUCUAGCGGAAAGGAUACCUCCCUGUCACGGAGGAGACCGGAGUUCGAUUCUCCGUAGCACCGCCA
Molecule: transfer RNA, 75 nt
Filed under: Klebsiella phage vB_KpM_FBKp24
Lineage: Duplodnaviria; Heunggongvirae; Uroviricota; Caudoviricetes; Chimalliviridae
Description: tRNA-Asp
Rfam family: tRNA
About the family: Transfer RNA (tRNA) molecules are approximately 80 nucleotides in length. Their secondary structure includes four short double-helical elements and three loops (D, anti-codon, and T loops).
Source: RNAcentral